Molecule: ribosomal RNA, 459 nt
Filed under: uncultured bacterium
Lineage: Bacteria
Description: SSU rRNA
Rfam family: Bacterial small subunit ribosomal RNA
Source: RNAcentral
AGAAUCAACGCUGGCGGCGUGCCUAACACAUGCAAGUCGAACGAGAAAGUGGAGCAAUCCAUGAGUAAAGUGGCGACCGGGUGAGUAACACGUGACUAACCUACCUUCAAGUGGGGGAUAACCUCGGGAAACCGAGGCUAAUACCGCAUAAUAUCGCAAGAUCAAAGCAGCAAUGCGCUGGAAGAGGGGGUCGCGGCUGAUUAGCUAGUUGGCGGGUAACGGCCCACCAAGGCGAAGAUCGGUAUCCGGCCUGAGAGGGCGCACGGACACACUGGAACUGAAACACGGUCCAGACUCCUACGGGAGGCAGCAGUGGGGAAUUUUGCGCAAUGGGGGAAACCCUGACGCAGCAACGCCGCGUGGAGGAUGAAGCCCCUUGGGGCGUAAACUCCUUUCGACCAAGACGAUAAUGACGGUACUGGUGGAAGAAGCACCGGCUAACUCUGCGCCAGCAGCCGC